UGGGGAAUAUUGGACAAUGGGGGCAACCCUGAUCCAGCAAUGCCGCGUGUGUGAAGAAGGCCUUCGGGUUGUAAAGCACUUUAGGCGGGGAAGAAGAUUAGUAGUUUAAGAGAUAGCUAAUUUGACGGUACCCGCAGAAUAAGCACCGGCUAACUCUGUGCCAGCAGCCGCGGUAAUACAGAGGGUGCAAGCGUUAAUCGGAUUUACUGGGCGUAAAGGGCGCGUAGGUGGUUAUGUAAGUGAGAUGUGAAAUCCCCGGGCUUAACCUGGGAACUGCGUCUUAUACUGCAUAGCUUGAGUACAUGAGAGGGUAGUGGAAUUUCCGGUGUAGCGGUGAAAUGCGUAGAUAUCGGAAGGAACACCAGUGGCGAAGGCGGCUACCUGGCAUGAUACUGACACUGAGGCGCGAGAGCGUGGGGAGCAAACAG
This 428-nucleotide ribosomal RNA is filed under the name uncultured bacterium. Its description in RNAcentral is "bacterial SSU rRNA". It matches the Rfam family "Bacterial small subunit ribosomal RNA", at positions 355 to 775 of the family's 1533-position model. The record is from RNAcentral.